GCUUGUCUCAAAGAUUAAGCCAUGCAUGUGUAAGUUUAAAUAAAUCUAAACUGUGAAACUGCGAAUGGCUCAUUAUAUCAGUUAUAGUUUAUUUGAUAGUACCUUACUACUUGGAUAACCGUAGUAAUUCUAGAGCUAAUACAUGCGCAAAAACCCGACUUCUGGAAGGGUUGUAUUUAUUAGAUUAAAACCAAUUCGUUUUCGGACGAUAUUGUGGUGAGUCAUAAUAACUUAUCGGAUCGCAGUGGCUUUGCCGGCGAUGAAUCAUUCAAAUUUCUGCCCUAUCAACUUUCGAUGGUAAGGUAUUGGCUUACCAUGGUUACAACGGGUAACGGGGAAUUAGGGUUCGAUUCCGGAGAGGGGGCCUGAGAAAUGGCCACCACUUCCAAGGAAGGCAGCAGG
This 402-nucleotide ribosomal RNA is filed under the name uncultured marine stramenopile. RNAcentral describes it as "partial small subunit ribosomal RNA". It matches the Rfam family "Eukaryotic small subunit ribosomal RNA", at positions 30 to 432 of the family's 1831-position model. The record is from RNAcentral.